GCCGACGUGGCGGAAUUGGUAGACGCGCUGUCUUGAGGGGGCAGUACCGAGAGGUGUCCCGGUUCGACUCCGGGCGUCGGCACCA
This 85-nucleotide transfer RNA is filed under the name Lysobacterales bacterium. RNAcentral's name for it is "tRNA-Leu". It matches the Rfam family "tRNA". Rfam says of the family: Transfer RNA (tRNA) molecules are approximately 80 nucleotides in length. Their secondary structure includes four short double-helical elements and three loops (D, anti-codon, and T loops). RNAcentral also lists the same sequence under 1 other name. The record is from RNAcentral. Lineage: Bacteria; Pseudomonadati; Pseudomonadota; Gammaproteobacteria; Lysobacterales.